UUAAGUUAUUAAGGGCGCACGGUGGAUGCCUUGGCACUAGAAGCCGAUGAAGGACGUUACUAACGACGAUAUGCUUUGGGGAGCUGUAAGUAAGCUUUGAUCCAGAGAUUUCCGAAUGGGGAAACCCAGCAUGAGUUAUGUCAUGUUAUCGAUAUGUGAAUACAUAGCAUAUCAGAAGGCACACCCGGAGAACUGAAACAUCUUAGUACCCGGAGGAAGAGAAAGAAAAUUCGAUUCCCUUAGUAGCGGCGAGCGAAACGGGAAGAGCCCAAACCAACAAGCUUGCUUGUUGGGGUUGUAGGACACUCUAUACGGAGUUACAAAGGACGACAUUAGACGAAUCAUCUGGAAAGAUGAAUCAAAGAAGGUAAUAAUCCUGUAGUCGAAAAUGUUGUCUCUCUUGAGUGGAUCCUGAGUACGACGGAGCACGUGAAAUUCCGUCGGAAUCUGGGAGGACCAUCUCCUAAGGCUAAAUACUCUCUAGUGACCGAUAGUGAACCAGUACCGUGAGGGAAAGGUGAAAAGCACCCCGGAAGGGGAGUGAAAUAGAACCUGAAACCGUGUGCUUACAAGUAGUCAGAGCCCGUUAAUGGGUGAUGGCGUGCCUUUUGUAGAAUGAACCGGCGAGUUACGAUUUGAUGCAAGGUUAAGCAGUAAAUGUGGAGCCGUAGCGAAAGCGAGUCUGAAUAGGGCGUUUAGUAUUUGGUCGUAGACCCGAAACCAGGUGAUCUACCCUUGGUCAGGUUGAAGUUCAGGUAACACUGAAUGGAGGACCGAACCGACUUACGUUGAAAAGUGAGCGGAUGAACUGAGGGUAGCGGAGAAAUUUCAAUCGAACCUGGAGAUAGCUGGUUCUCUCCGAAAUAGCUUUAGGGCUAGCCUCAAGUGAUGAUUAUUGGAGGUAGAGCACUGUUUGGACGAGGGGCCCCUCUCGGGUUACCGAAUUCAGACAAACUCCGAAUGCCAAUUAAUUUAACUUGGGAGUCAGAACAUGGGUGAUAAGGUCCGUGUUCGAAAGGGAAACAGCCCAGACCACCAGCUAAGGUCCCAAAAUAUAUGUUAAGUGGAAAAGGAUGUGGCGUUGCCCAGACAACUAGGAUGUUGGCUUAGAAGCAGCCAUCAUUUAAAGAGUGCGUAAUAGCUCACUAGUCGAGUGACACUGCGCCGAAAAUGUACCGGGGCUAAACAUAUUACCGAAGCUGUGGAUUGUCCUUUGGACAAUGGUAGGAGAGCGUUCUAAGGGCGUUGAAGCAUGAUCGUAAGGACAUGUGGAGCGCUUAGAAGUGAGAAUGCCGGUGUGAGUAGCGAAAGACGGGUGAGAAUCCCGUCCACCGAUUGACUAAGGUUUCCAGAGGAAGGCUCGUCCGCUCUGGGUUAGUCGGGGCCUAAGCUGAGGCCGACAGGCGUAGGCGAUGGAUAACAGGUUGAUAUUCCUGUACCACCUAUAAUCGUUUUAAUCGAUGGGGGGACGCAGUAGGAUAGGCGAAGCGUGCGAUUGGAUUGCACGUCUAAGCAGUAAGGCUGAGUAUUAGGCAAAUCCGGUACUCGUUAAGGCUGAGCUGUGAUGGGGAGAAGACAUUGUGUCUUCGAGUCGUUGAUUUCACACUGCCGAGAAAAGCCUCUAGAUAGAAAAUAGGUGCCCGUACCGCAAACCGACACAGGUAGUCAAGAUGAGAAUUCUAAGGUGAGCGAGCGAACUCUCGUUAAGGAACUCGGCAAAAUGACCCCGUAACUUCGGGAGAAGGGGUGCUCUUUAGGGUUAACGCCCAGAAGAGCCGCAGUGAAUAGGCCCAAGCGACUGUUUAUCAAAAACACAGGUCUCUGCUAAACCGUAAGGUGAUGUAUAGGGGCUGACGCCUGCCCGGUGCUGGAAGGUUAAGAGGAGUGGUUAGCUUCUGCGAAGCUACGAAUCGAAGCCCCAGUAAACGGCGGCCGUAACUAUAACGGUCCUAAGGUAGCGAAAUUCCUUGGCGGGUAAGUUCCGACCCGCACGAAAGGCGUAACGAUUUGGGCACUGUCUCAACGAGAGACUCGGUGAAAUCAUAGUACCUGUGAAGAUGCAGGUUACCCGCGACAGGACGGAAAGACCCCGUGGAGCUUUACUGUAGCCUGAUAUUGAAAUUCGGCACAGCUUGUACAGGAUAGGUAGGAGCCUUUGAAACGUGAGCGCUAGCUUACGUGGAGGCGCUGGUGGGAUACUACCCUAGCUGUGUUGGCUUUCUAACCCGCACCACUUAUCGUGGUGGGAGACAGUGUCAGGCGGGCAGUUUGACUGGGGCGGUCGCCUCCUAAAAGGUAACGGAGGCGCUCAAAGGUUCCCUCAGAAUGGUUGGAAAUCAAUCAUAGAGUGUAAAGGCAUAAGGGAGCUUGACUGCGAGACCUACAAGUCGAGCAGGGUCGAAAGACGGACUUAGUGAUCCGGUGGUUCCGCAUGGAAGGGCCAUCGCUCAACGGAUAAAAGCUACCCCGGGGAUAACAGGCUUAUCUCCCCCAAGAGUUCACAUCGACGGGGAGGUUUGGCACCUCGAUGUCGGCUCAUCGCAUCCUGGGGCUGUAGUCGGUCCCAAGGGUUGGGCUGUUCGCCCAUUAAAGCGGUACGCGAGCUGGGUUCAGAACGUCGUGAGACAGUUCGGUCCCUAUCCGUCGUGGGCGUAGGAAAUUUGAGAGGAGCUGUCCUUAGUACGAGAGGACCGGGAUGGACAUACCUCUGGUGUACCAGUUGUCGUGCCAACGGCAUAGCUGGGUAGCUAUGUGUGGACGGGAUAAGUGCUGAAAGCAUCUAAGCAUGAAGCCCCCCUCAAGAUGAGAUUUCCCAACUUCGGUUAUAAGAUCCCUCAAAGAUGAUGAGGUUAAUAGGUUCGAGGUGGAAGCAUGGUGACAUGUGGAGCUGACGAAUACUAAUCGAUCGAAGACUUAAUCAA
This 2921-nucleotide ribosomal RNA is filed under the name Staphylococcus aureus. RNAcentral describes it as "23S ribosomal RNA". It matches the Rfam family "Bacterial large subunit ribosomal RNA". Lineage: Bacteria; Bacillati; Bacillota; Bacilli; Caryophanales; Staphylococcaceae. The record is from RNAcentral.